RNAcentral lists this ribosomal RNA (639 nucleotides) under Peribacillus simplex. RNAcentral describes it as "bacterial SSU rRNA". It matches the Rfam family "Bacterial small subunit ribosomal RNA", at positions 56 to 678 of the family's 1533-position model. Lineage: Bacteria; Bacillati; Bacillota; Bacilli; Caryophanales; Bacillaceae. The record is from RNAcentral.
UGCAAGUCGAGCGAAUCGACGGGAGCUUGCUCCCUGAGAUUAGCGGCGGACGGGUGAGUAACACGUGGGCAACCUGCCUAUAAGACUGGGAUAACUUCGGGAAACCGGAGCUAAUACCGGAUACGUUCUUUUCUCGCAUGAGAGAAGAUGGAAAGACGGUUUACGCUGUCACUUAUAGAUGGGCCCGCGGCGCAUUAGCUAGUUGGUGAGGUAAUGGCUCACCAAGGCGACGAUGCGUAGCCGACCUGAGAGGGUGAUCGGCCACACUGGGACUGAGACACGGCCCAGACUCCUACGGGAGGCAGCAGUAGGGAAUCUUCCGCAAUGGACGAAAGUCUGACGGAGCAACGCCGCGUGAACGAAGAAGGCCUUCGGGUCGUAAAGUUCUGUUGUUAGGGAAGAACAAGUACCAGAGUAACUGCUGGUACCUUGACGGUACCUAACCAGAAAGCCACGGCUAACUACGUGCCAGCAGCCGCGGUAAUACGUAGGUGGCAAGCGUUGUCCGGAAUUAUUGGGCGUAAAGCGCGCGCAGGUGGUUCCUUAAGUCUGAUGUGAAAGCCCACGGCUCAACCGUGGAGGGUCAUUGGAAACUGGGGAACUUGAGUGCAGAAGAGGAAAGUGGAAUUCCAAGUGUAG